UGUGUUCUAGUUCCUUUUCUGGUACC
This 26-nucleotide non-coding RNA is filed under the name Mus musculus (house mouse). The record is from RNAcentral. Lineage: Eukaryota; Metazoa; Chordata; Mammalia; Rodentia; Muridae.